RNAcentral lists this transfer RNA (93 nucleotides) under Diaporthe helianthi. It matches the Rfam family "tRNA". From Rfam's summary of the family: Transfer RNA (tRNA) molecules are approximately 80 nucleotides in length. Their secondary structure includes four short double-helical elements and three loops (D, anti-codon, and T loops). The record is from Rfam by way of RNAcentral. Lineage: Eukaryota; Fungi; Ascomycota; Sordariomycetes; Diaporthales; Diaporthaceae.
GUCCGACUGGCCCAGUGGUUAAGGCGUCUGCUUUACAGUCGAUAAAGGACAAGUAACCGCAGAAGAUCACAGGUUCGAUCCCUGUGUUGGACA